CGAUUCUGUUUGUGCACAUGGCUUAAAUA
This 29-nucleotide non-coding RNA is filed under the name Mus musculus (house mouse). The record is from RNAcentral. Lineage: Eukaryota; Metazoa; Chordata; Mammalia; Rodentia; Muridae.